GCGGGUGUGGCGGAAUGGCAGACGCGCCAGACUUAGGAUCUGGUGCCUCCGGGCGUGGAGGUUCAAGUCCUCUCACCCGCA
This 81-nucleotide transfer RNA is filed under the name bacterium (Candidatus Blackallbacteria) CG13_big_fil_rev_8_21_14_2_50_49_14. RNAcentral describes it as "tRNA-Leu". It matches the Rfam family "tRNA". Rfam says of the family: Transfer RNA (tRNA) molecules are approximately 80 nucleotides in length. Their secondary structure includes four short double-helical elements and three loops (D, anti-codon, and T loops). Further hydrogen bonds mediate the characteristic L-shaped molecular structure. tRNAs have two regions of fundamental functional importance: the anti-codon, which is responsible for specific mRNA codon recognition, and the 3' end, to which the tRNAs corresponding amino acid is attached (by aminoacyl-tRNA synthetases). tRNAs cope with the degeneracy of the genetic code in two manners: having more than one tRNA (with a specific anti-codon) for a particular amino acid; and 'wobble' base-pairing, i.e. permitting non-standard base-pairing at the 3rd anti-codon position. RNAcentral also lists the same sequence under 2 other names. Lineage: Bacteria; Candidatus Blackallbacteria. The record is from RNAcentral.